Molecule: small RNA, 91 nt
Filed under: Sinorhizobium meliloti 2011
Lineage: Bacteria; Pseudomonadati; Pseudomonadota; Alphaproteobacteria; Hyphomicrobiales; Rhizobiaceae
Description: putative ncRNA
Source: RNAcentral
AUCGAUUUUCAGGCGCGAAAGCCUGGGCGACGAGAUCUCCUUAUACUUUCAUAGGAUCGCUGGUGAGAGUCCAGCGCGAAUAUACACAGCU